This 76-nucleotide transfer RNA is filed under the name Rhizobium sp. MHM7A. Its description in RNAcentral is "tRNA-Ala". It matches the Rfam family "tRNA". Rfam says of the family: Transfer RNA (tRNA) molecules are approximately 80 nucleotides in length. Their secondary structure includes four short double-helical elements and three loops (D, anti-codon, and T loops). Further hydrogen bonds mediate the characteristic L-shaped molecular structure. tRNAs have two regions of fundamental functional importance: the anti-codon, which is responsible for specific mRNA codon recognition, and the 3' end, to which the tRNAs corresponding amino acid is attached (by aminoacyl-tRNA synthetases). tRNAs cope with the degeneracy of the genetic code in two manners: having more than one tRNA (with a specific anti-codon) for a particular amino acid; and 'wobble' base-pairing, i.e. permitting non-standard base-pairing at the 3rd anti-codon position. Lineage: Bacteria; Pseudomonadati; Pseudomonadota; Alphaproteobacteria; Hyphomicrobiales; Rhizobiaceae. The record is from RNAcentral.
GGGGUUAUAGCUCAGCUGGGAGAGCGCUUCCAUGGCAUGGAAGAGGUCGUCGGUUCGAUUCCGUCUAACUCCACCA